Molecule: ribosomal RNA, 232 nt
Filed under: uncultured Lactobacillus sp.
Lineage: Bacteria; Bacillati; Bacillota; Bacilli; Lactobacillales; Lactobacillaceae
Description: partial 16S ribosomal RNA
Rfam family: Bacterial small subunit ribosomal RNA
Source: RNAcentral
CCCAAGAGAUCGGGAUAACACCUGGAAACAGAUGCUAAUACCGGAUAACAACAGAUGAUGCCUAUCAACUGUUUAAAAGAUGGUUCUGCUAUCACUCUUGGAUGGACCUGCGGUGCAUUAGCUAGUUGGUAGGGUAACGGCCUACCAAGGCGAUGAUGCAUAGCCGAGUUGAGAGACUGAUCGGCCACAUUGGGACUGAGACACGGCCCAAACUCCUACGGGAGGCAGCAGA